This 917-nucleotide ribosomal RNA is filed under the name uncultured archaeon. Its description in RNAcentral is "bacterial SSU rRNA". It matches the Rfam family "Archaeal small subunit ribosomal RNA", at positions 1 to 922 of the family's 1478-position model. The record is from RNAcentral.
UCCGGUUGAUCCUGCCAGAGGCUACUGCUAUCGGGGUUCGAUUAAGCCAUGCGAGUUAAAUGUUCUUCGUGAACAUAGCGAACUGCUCAGUAACACGUGGAUAACCUACCCUUAGGACCGGAAUAACCCCGGGAAACUGGGGAUAAUACCGGAUAAGCCAUAGACGCUGGAAUGCCCUAUGGUUCAAAGCUCCGGCGCCUAAGGAUGGAUCUGCGGUCUAUCAGGUUGUAGUGGGUGUAACGUACCUACUAGCCGACGACGGAUACGGGUUGUGAGAGCAAGAGCCCGGAGAUGGAUUCUGAGACACGAAUCCAGGCCCUACGGGGUGCAGCAGGCGCGAACACUUUACAAUGCGGGAAACCGCGAUAAGGGAACCCCGAGUGCCAGCAUCAAAUGUUGGCUGUCCGGAUGAUUAAAAAUCAUUUGUUAGCAAGGGCCGGGCAAGACCGGUGCCAGCCGCCGCGGUAACACCGGCGGCCCGAGUGGUAGCCGUUUUUAUUGGGUCUAAAGGGUCCGUAGCCGGCCUGAUAAGUCCUUUGGGAAAUCUGGCAGCUUAACUGUCAGGCUUCUAAGGGAUACUGUCAGGCUUGGGACCGGAAGAGGUAAGGGGUACUCCAGGGGUAGGAGUGAAAUCUUGUAAUCCCUGGGGGACCAUCUGUGGCGAAGGCGCCUUACCAGAACGGGUCCGACGGUGAGGGACGAAAGCUAGGGGAGCAAACCGGAUUAGAUACCCGGGUAGUCCUAGCUGUAAACGAUGCUCGCUAGGUGUCAGACACGGUGCGACCGUGUUUGGUGCCGCAGGGAAGCCGUUAAGCGAGCCACCUGGGAAGUACGGUCGCAAGGCUGAAACUUAAAGGAAUUGGCGGGGGAGCACUACAACGGGUGGAGCCUGCGGUUUAAUUGGAUUCAACGCCGGG